CUGCUAACCGCGGGCCAGCAGCCGCUGUAAUACGGAGGAUCCAAGCGUUAUCCUGAAUCAUUGGGUUUAAAGGGUCCGUAGGCGGCUUAAUAAGUCAGCGGUGAAAGUUUGCAGCUUAACUGUAAAAUUGCCAUUGAUACUGUUAGGCUUGAAUUAUUGUGAAGUAACUAGAAUAUGUAGUGUAGCGGUGAAAUGCUUAGAUAUUACAUGGAGUACCAAUUGCGAAGGCAGGUUACUAACAAUGGAUUGACGCUGAUGGACGAAAGCGUGGGUAGCGAACAGGAUUAGAUACCCGAGAGUC
This 301-nucleotide ribosomal RNA is filed under the name uncultured Halorubrum sp. RNAcentral describes it as "bacterial SSU rRNA". It matches the Rfam family "Bacterial small subunit ribosomal RNA", at positions 494 to 795 of the family's 1533-position model. Lineage: Archaea; Methanobacteriati; Methanobacteriota; Halobacteria; Halobacteriales; Haloferacaceae. The record is from RNAcentral.